AGUGAACGCUGGCGGCGUGCUUAACACAUGCAAGUCGAACGCUGAAGCCCGAAGCUUGCUUCGGGUGGAUGAGUGGCGAACGGGUGAGUAACACGUGAGUAACCUGCCCCUGAUUUCGGGAUAAGCCUGGGAAACUGGGUCUAAUACCGGAUACGACCACCUGACGCAUGUCGGGUGGUGGAAAGUUUUUCGAUCGGGGAUGGGCUCGCGGCCUAUCAGCUUGUUGGUGGGGUAAUGGCCUACCAAGGCGACGACGGGUAGCCGGCCUGAGAGGGCGACCGGCCACACUGGGACUGGGACACGGCCCAGACUCCUGCGGGAGGCAGCAGUGGGGAAUAUUGCACAAUGGGGGAAACCCUGAUGCAGCGACGCAGCGUGCGGGAUGACGGCCUUCGGGUUGUAAACCGCUUUCAGCAGGGAAGAAGCGAAAGUGACGGUACCUGCAGAAGAAGUACCGGCUAACUACGUGCCAGCCGCCGCCGUAA
This 485-nucleotide ribosomal RNA is filed under the name uncultured bacterium. Its description in RNAcentral is "partial 16S ribosomal RNA". It matches the Rfam family "Bacterial small subunit ribosomal RNA", at positions 28 to 523 of the family's 1533-position model. The record is from RNAcentral.